This 874-nucleotide ribosomal RNA is filed under the name Staphylococcus aureus. RNAcentral's name for it is "bacterial SSU rRNA". It matches the Rfam family "Bacterial small subunit ribosomal RNA", at positions 62 to 919 of the family's 1533-position model. Lineage: Bacteria; Bacillati; Bacillota; Bacilli; Caryophanales; Staphylococcaceae. The record is from RNAcentral.
UCGAGCGAACGGACGAGAAGCUUGCUUCUCUGAUGUUAGCGGCGGACGGGUGAGUAACACGUGGAUAACCUACCUAUAAGACUGGGAUAACUUCGGGAAACCGGAGCUAAUACCGGAUAAUAUUUUGAACCGCAUGGUUCAAAAGUGAAAGACGGUCUUGCUGUCACUUAUAGAUGGAUCCGCGCUGCAUUAGCUAGUUGGUAAGGUAACGGCUUACCAAGGCAACGAUGCAUAGCCGACCUGAGAGGGUGAUCGGCCACACUGGAACUGAGACACGGUCCAGACUCCUACGGGAGGCAGCAGUAGGGAAUCUUCCGCAAUGGGCGAAAGCCUGACGGAGCAACGCCGCGUGAGUGAUGAAGGUCUUCGGAUCGUAAAACUCUGUUAUUAGGGAAGAACAUAUGUGUAAGUAACUGUGCACAUCUUGACGGUACCUAAUCAGAAAGCCACGGCUAACUACGUGCCAGCAGCCGCGGUAAUACGUAGGUGGCAAGCGUUAUCCGGAAUUAUUGGGCGUAAAGCGCGCGUAGGCGGUUUUUUAAGUCUGAUGUGAAAGCCCACGGCUCAACCGUGGAGGGUCAUUGGAAACUGGAAAACUUGAGUGCAGAAAAGGAAAGUGGAAUUCCAUGUGUAGCGGUGAAAUGCGCAGAGAUAUGGAGGAACACCAGUGGCGAAAGCGACUUUCUGGUCUGUAACUGACGCUGAUGUGCGAAAGCGUGGGGAUCAAACAGGAUUAUAUACCCUGGUAUUCCACGCCGUAAACGAUGAGUGCUAAGUGUCACGGGGGUUUCCACCUCUUCAUUGCUGCAGCUAACGAUUAAGACUCCACUGACGGAGUACGACGGCACCGUUGGUCUCACAGAAUGAAUAGAAA